This 253-nucleotide ribosomal RNA is filed under the name uncultured bacterium. RNAcentral describes it as "partial 16S ribosomal RNA". It matches the Rfam family "Bacterial small subunit ribosomal RNA", at positions 524 to 776 of the family's 1533-position model. The record is from RNAcentral.
UACGUAGGGGGCUAGCGUUGUCCGGACUUAUUGGGCGUAAAGAGCGUGUAGGCGGCCAGGUAGGUCUGCUGUGAAAACUCGAGGCUCAACCUCGAGACGUCGGCGGAAACCAUCUGGCUAGAGUCCGGAAGAGGAGAGUGGAAUUCCUGGUGUAGCGGUGAAAUGCGCAGAUAUCAGGAAGAACACCCGUGGCGAAGGCGGCUCUCUGGGACGGUACUGACGCUGAGACGCGAAAGCGUGGGGAGCGAACAGG